CCAUUUAUUUUCAGUUGCCUUUUAAAGAGGGAAAGCUCAUGGUGCAAAUUGUUAUUUCUAGUGUGAAGGCUGAAGUCCUGGCAGAAUGGGUGCUGAUGGAUCUACAGGGGGAGAUAGAGGCUCACUACAGCACUGGAUUAGCUGGAAACCUCCUGAGAGACCUACAUUACAUCACCGAGGGAAUUCCUGUGCUGAUUGUGGGGCAUCAUAUCCUGUAUGGCAAAAUCAUCCACCUGGAGAAAACUUUUGUAGUUAUUGUCAAACACACUCCUAGAGAGCAUGACUGUGAUGAGCUUGGCCAUGAGACUGGCUCCACCCAGUAUCUGAUGACAACACUCAUCAAAGACAAGAUCUUUUUCAAAACCCGUCCCAAACCCAUUAUCACCAACGUCCUCAAGAAAGUAUGA
This is an RNA transcript of Octodon degus (degu), 407 nucleotides long. It is a transcript of the gene named chromosome transmission fidelity protein 8 homolog pseudogene, with no coding region annotated. Lineage: Eukaryota; Metazoa; Chordata; Mammalia; Rodentia; Octodontidae. The transcript has a single exon. The record is from RefSeq and is a predicted model, not a curated record.